This 299-nucleotide long non-coding RNA is filed under the name Sorghum bicolor (sorghum). RNAcentral describes it as "long non-coding RNA (SBIC_LNC005496)". The record is from RNAcentral. Lineage: Eukaryota; Viridiplantae; Streptophyta; Magnoliopsida; Poales; Poaceae.
CCCCAUUUGUGGCUUCUUAGCUGCUUUAGGCUCACCUUUUGUUUUUUCCUUUAAAAUGCUCUUCUGUAAACUUGUCUAUUAUUUUUUUAUAUAUUGAUUCACAGUAGGAGCCACUGGCUCCUCCUGAUUCUUCAAAAAAAAGGUUAGAGGACAACCUUUGCUAGCGUGCACUCCUACUAUACAUGGUGUGUGAUUCUGUCUCUUCUUUUUUUUCGUCCUCGGUAACCACAUGUUCAUCUUCUCUGCCAAUAUUAUGCAAUAAGGACCUUCUUAAGCUAUUGUGUGGGUUUUUAACGUGC